UCCCAAGCCUCAUACAAGCUUUCUUGAUCAUGAUGGGCAAAAGUAAUAAUCUCAUUUCUUAGUUU
Molecule: small nucleolar RNA, 65 nt
Filed under: Jatropha curcas
Lineage: Eukaryota; Viridiplantae; Streptophyta; Magnoliopsida; Malpighiales; Euphorbiaceae
Description: Plant small nucleolar RNA R71
Rfam family: Plant small nucleolar RNA R71
About the family: R71 is a member of the C/D box family of snoRNAs containing the C (UGAUGA) and D (CUGA) box motifs.
Source: Rfam by way of RNAcentral